AGUGAACGCUGGCGGUAGGCCUAACACAUGCAAGUCGAACGGCAGCACAGUAAGAGCUUGCUCUUACGGGUGGCGAGUGGCGGACGUGUGAGGAAUACAUCGGAAUCUACUUUUUCGUGGGGGAUAACGUAGGGAAACUUACGCUAAUACGCCAUAGGCCCACGGGGGGAAUGCGGGGGAUUUUGGGCCUUGGGGGGAUGGAUUGGCCGGAUGUCGGAUUGGCUAGUUGGUGGGGUAAAGGCCCACCAAGGCGACGACCCGUAGCGGGUCUGAGAGGAUGAUCAGCCACACUGGAACUGAGACACGGUCCAGACUCCUACGGGAGGCAGCAGUGGGGAAUAGUGGACAAUGGGCGCAAGCCUGAUCCAGCCAUACCGCGUGGGUGAAGAAGGCCUUCGGGUUGUAAAGCCCUUUUGUUGGGAAAGAAAAGCAGCAGGUUAAUACCCCGCUGUUCUGACGGUACCCAAAGAAUAAGCACCGGCUAACUUCGUG
Molecule: ribosomal RNA, 492 nt
Filed under: uncultured bacterium
Lineage: Bacteria
Description: partial 16S ribosomal RNA
Rfam family: Bacterial small subunit ribosomal RNA
Source: RNAcentral